Trichoderma simmonsii is the source of this 109-nucleotide non-coding RNA. NCBI's taxonomy places the organism in Eukaryota, Fungi, Ascomycota, Sordariomycetes, Hypocreales, Hypocreaceae. The record is from the annotation of a GenBank genome assembly.
GUCUUCCUGGCGCAGUUGGCUAGCGCGUCAGUCUCAUAUCAAGUUCGAUAUGAUCUAAACAUUAGUUUGGGCAAUCUGAAGGUCGUGAGUUCGAGCCUCACGGAGGACA